RNAcentral lists this ribosomal RNA (497 nucleotides) under uncultured bacterium. Its description in RNAcentral is "partial 16S ribosomal RNA". It matches the Rfam family "Bacterial small subunit ribosomal RNA", at positions 28 to 507 of the family's 1533-position model. The record is from RNAcentral.
GAUGAACGCUGGCGGCGUGCCUAAUACAUGCAAGUCGAGCGAACAGACGAGGAGCUUGCUCCUCUGACGUUAGCGGCGGACGGGUGAGUAACACGUGGAUAACCUACCUAUAAGACUGGGAUAACUUCGGGAAACCGGAGCUAAUACCGGAUAAUAUAUUGAACCGCAUGGUUCAAUAGUGAAAGACGGUUUUGCUGUUACUUAUAGAUGGAUCCGCGCCGCAUUAGCUAGUUGGUAAGGUAACGGCUUACCAAGGCGACGAUGCGUAGCCGACCUGAGAGGGUGAUCAGCCACACUGGAACUGAGACACGGUCCAGACUCCUACGGGAGGCAGCAGUAGGGAAUCUUGCGCAAUGGGCGAAAGCCUGACCGAGCAACGCCGCGUGAGUGAUGAAGGUCUUCGGGUCGUAAAACUCUGUUAUUAGGAAAGAACAAAUGUGUAAGUAACUAUGCACGUCUUGACGGUACCUAAACAGAAAGCAACGGCUAACUACGUG